Molecule: ribosomal RNA, 406 nt
Filed under: uncultured bacterium
Lineage: Bacteria
Description: bacterial SSU rRNA
Rfam family: Bacterial small subunit ribosomal RNA
Source: RNAcentral
AACGAACGCUGGCGGCGUGCCUAACACAUGCAAGUCGAGCGGGAAAGUUCCCUUCGGGGAGCGAGUACAGCGGCGCGCGGGUGAGUAACACGUAGGUAACCUACCCUGGAGACCGGGAUAACCUGCCGAAAGGCGGGCUAAUACCGGAUGAGACCACGAGGGCUGCGGCCCUUGAGGAAAAAGAUGGCCUCUACUUGUAAGCUAUCACUCCGGGAUGGGCCUGCGCGCCAUUAGCUAGUUGGGAGGUAACGGCUCACCAAGGCCGAGAUGGCUAGCUGGUCUGAGAGGAUGGCCAGCCACACUGGGACUGAGACACGGCCCAGACUCCUACGGGAGGCAGCAGUGGGGAAUAUUGCGCAAUGGGCGAAAAGCCUGACGCAGCGACGCCGCGUGGGUGAUGAAGGCC